Molecule: ribosomal RNA, 254 nt
Filed under: uncultured bacterium
Lineage: Bacteria
Description: partial small subunit ribosomal RNA
Rfam family: Bacterial small subunit ribosomal RNA
Source: RNAcentral
AGGACGAACGCUGGCGGCGUGCUUAACACAUGCAAGUCGAGCGGAAAGGCCCUUCGGGGUACUCGAGCGGCGAACGGGUGAGUAACACGUGAGUAAUCUGCCCCUAGCUCUGGGAUAGCUCCGGGAAACCGGGAUUAAUACCGGAUACGACCACUUUAGACAUCUGUUGUGGUGGAAAGAAUUUCGGCUAAGGAUGAGCUCGCGGCCUAUCAGCUUGUUGGUGGGGUAACGGCCUACCAAGGCGACGACGGGUA